UCCUCAUUACUCACCAUAAUAUCUGAUAUUCAAAUCCUAUUGAUUCCGGCUGCCAAAAUUUGGGUUCUUAUUGAACUUAUUCUCCAUAAACGAUUCAUACGUUACGGAAGAUUCUCCGUAAGCGAUUCAUAUGUUACGAGCUCGGUAACAACUUAUUAAUUUCUUCCCUAUAAUUAAUCCCUGAGAUGUUCCUCUAUAUAAACCUCACACGAUAUUAUCUUCCUAAGGUUCUCAGUUUGUUUCUAAACCAUACUCUGUCAAGAUUACAUGAGAUGUUGGUUCUACCAACACAGUAUUUUUAGUUUUUUAAGAACAACAGUAGCAGUAACAAUGGAAAUGCUUGAAAUGAAUCAAUGGAGUUGCAGAUUGUCGCGAACCAAUUAUCCUAAAGAGUUUUUGUCAGCUCAUUUCAUUUAUGGAGCUUAGCAUUUACUACACAAGGAUAUAAUUUGCUGGCAGCUUAGAGAGAAGUACCACACCUAUACCCCUCAUAUUUCAUCUGCAUCUACCUUUUUUAGUCUUGCAAAACUUAGUUUUUUCACUUUCAUGGAAAAUCACCACAAUCACUUGACUUUAGCUACGAGGAAAAUCUUCGCUCAAGAAUGUGUGUUUUGACGAAAGAAUGAACCUUGGAUUGGAAAUUAAGUAUUUAAUCCAAAAAUAAAGGAUAUGAGCAGAUAUGUGCAAAGUCGAUGAUUGGACAUUGGUUAUGGGCAGCUGGUGGAUUAGAAGGCAUAGCUGCAAUAAAAGGUGUCUUAUGAUCAACCUCAUUGUGAAUGAUUACAACAAUAUUUCCGCGCUAGAUUCCCGGAAUUGGUUUCAUCAUCUAAUGAGAAACCACAAAGCUGCACAAGCUACAUCUUUUUGCGCGUCAAACUGGCCCAGUUUGUAAUCAUUGUUACACAAAUGAACCGAUACAGUAAUACCAUCGCAGUAUAUUGAAAGGUUACGCAAAAUAGUAACACAUCCAGGCAGGUGUUAAGAAACUUAGGAAGGAGCUGUAACCAGCUAUGGUAAGUUAAUGGCAAUGAAGAGGGAGCUUCCGAUCCAACCUUCACAGCGAUCACGAAUCCCUUCCACACCCUCCAGAAUUAUAAGUGGCUGCAACUGUUAUUCCUGGACGUGAUUAUGAAUUAGACAAGGCUGUGGAGAAUUUAAGCUGGCAUCAUAUGCUUAAUUUUCAUCUUAUAAUGAUGAAAUGGGGAAAAAAUUGUUUCAUAUAUUGAUCAUUUCAAUUGUAUUUAAUUUUUUUUGUCGCCAGUUCCAUGAUGUUAAGGAGUAUUCGUUUUGUGCACUGUAUCCUAUUGCUUCCUCUCUUUUAAAAUGUAAAAAUGCAUAUUUUCCCAUUAAUAUCAAGCUAUGGUGCUGAAAAGUCUGCAACUGCGUGUUAUCUAGACACAAAACCUAAUCUUUGUGCUUAGGUUUAUACCAGUACUUGCAGAUCUUUUUUUGGACACACAUUCAGG
Long non-coding RNA from Papaver somniferum (opium poppy), 1466 nucleotides. RefSeq lists it as uncharacterized. Lineage: Eukaryota; Viridiplantae; Streptophyta; Magnoliopsida; Ranunculales; Papaveraceae. The record is from RefSeq and is a predicted model, not a curated record. The transcript is spliced from 7 exons.